AGCUCCAAUAGCGUAUAUUAAAGUUGUUGCAGUUAAAAAGCUCGUAGUUGGAUUUCUGGUACGGUGCGCCUGGCCCACGGUCGCAAGAUCGCGAGUGUCGGUGUGCGCCUGCCAUCUUUCUAGUUAACCGGACGCACUUAACUGGGCGGUCGGCGAUCUAGUUCAUUUACUUUGAAAAAAUUAGAGUGUUUAAAGCAGGCUUGCGCUAUGAAUACAUUAGCAUGGAAUAAUAAUUUAGGACUUUGCUUCUAUUUUAUUGGUUUCUAGGAGUAAAGUAAUGAUUGAUAGGGAUAGUUGGGGGUGCUAGUAUUCAUCGGCCAGAGGUGAAAUUCUUGGAUUCGAUGAAGACUAACUAAUGCGAAAGCAUUCACCAAGGAUGUCUUCU
This 385-nucleotide ribosomal RNA is filed under the name uncultured Cercozoa. RNAcentral's name for it is "SSU rRNA". It matches the Rfam family "Eukaryotic small subunit ribosomal RNA", at positions 587 to 972 of the family's 1831-position model. The record is from RNAcentral. Lineage: Eukaryota; Cercozoa.